This 250-nucleotide ribosomal RNA is filed under the name uncultured prokaryote. RNAcentral describes it as "partial 16S ribosomal RNA". It matches the Rfam family "Bacterial small subunit ribosomal RNA", at positions 524 to 773 of the family's 1533-position model. The record is from RNAcentral.
UACGGAAGGUCCGGGCGUUAUCCGGAUUUAUUGGGUUUAAAGGGAGCGCAGGCGGGGGCUUAAGCGUGACGUGAAAUGCCGCGGCUCAACCGUGGAAGUGCGUCGCGAACUGGGUCUCUUGAGUGAGUGCGACGUAGGCGGAAUUCGUGGUGUAGCGGUGAAAUGCUUAGAUAUCACGAAGAACCCCGAUUGCGAAGGCAGCCUACGAGUCCUCUACUGACGCUAAAGCUCGAAGGUGCGGGUAUCGAAC